CGCGGGGUGGAGCAGCCCGGUAGCUUGUCGGGCGCAUAACCCGAAGGUCGUGGGUUCAAAUCGCACCCCUGCAACCA
Molecule: transfer RNA, 77 nt
Filed under: Pseudomonadota bacterium
Lineage: Bacteria; Pseudomonadati; Pseudomonadota
Also listed under: 2 other names
Description: tRNA-Met
Rfam family: tRNA
About the family: Transfer RNA (tRNA) molecules are approximately 80 nucleotides in length.
Source: RNAcentral